UAUAUUUGCCGAUCGUUAAUAAAGCUUAUACAUAAAAAUCAUUAAAAUUAAUAUUUGCAUG
This 61-nucleotide non-coding RNA is filed under the name unclassified sequences. RNAcentral describes it as "S15-Flavobacteria ribosomal protein leader". It matches the Rfam family "S15-Flavobacteria ribosomal protein leader". The record is from RNAcentral.